Molecule: long non-coding RNA, 3308 nt
Organism: Canis lupus familiaris (dog)
Lineage: Eukaryota; Metazoa; Chordata; Mammalia; Carnivora; Canidae
Exons: 2
Source: RefSeq, a predicted model, not a curated record
CUGGGGGCUGGGUCUGCAGGGGCGGGGGCGCUCCGGGCCGGUGCAGGGAUGCCUGAAUCUCUCUACUGAAAAUGAGCCCUCGUCAGCUUUCGUUCAGAGAAGUCCGUGUCCAACAAGGCCGGCGCUGGGGUGCCGACACUAGGCUUUUCUCUCCCCGGAGGCCUGAGUCCAUCGUUCUGGUUUGACCUUGAGCACCUGUCUGCGCUUCCUUUUUCUCAUUUCCAGCAAGAUCUCGAAAGAGUAAGAUGCAGAAUACAUACAGAUCAGGACGAUUUAAAAGAGACCAGUUACUCUUAUUUUUCAUGUUUCUCUUCAUCAUAUUGCAUUGGAAAAAAAAAAAAAAAAAACACCCCAAAACGUUAUUUUGGCUUACACUACAAAAUCCCAAGUGUAACUUUUGGUUUUUAGUGUGCCAGUAUUUUUUUGUUUGUUUGUUUUAAAUUGAAAAAGUAGACUGGAAAUAAAAUGCCACACCCAGAAGAGUUUGGAAUGAGAUUUUCAGGUUAAGAUUGGAGACCAGAGGUGAAGGAUGUUGGGAAUUCCUCUUGUAACCUUUGAACUUAAAAGUAAUUUCUGAAGUUUUAAGUGUGCACAAAUUCUUCAUUUUAAAUGUGGACUCAUUUCCCCCCCCCCUUUUUUUUUAAGUGCAAUUCAAAAGGAUUGGCGAGAUAGAUCAUACAGUUUGGGGACAUAGAUUAAAUGUUUUAAAAAUACAAAUUUUGGGGACGCCUGGGUGGCUCAGUGGUUGAGCGUUUGCCUUUGGCCCAGGGCAUGAUCCUGGAGACUUGGGAUCGAGUCCUGCGUCAGGCUCCCUGCAUGGAGCCUGCUUCUCCCUCUGCCUGUGUCUCUGCCUCUCUCUAUCUCUCUCUCUCUGUCUCUCAUGAAUAGAUAAAUAAAAUCUUAAAAAAAAAAAAAACAGAUUAUCAAGCAGGUGGGGAUCAUUAGUACCAAUGGUAAUUACUUUGGUUUCCCAUUUAUAAGCAUCAGCCAUGUAGUAAAAAUGAAGUACCUUGUAUACCCCAUGUUAAAUUUUAUACAUAAACUUUUUUUUUAAGCUCUGAGUGAACUUCAAGAAUUACCAAUAAUCGUAAUAGAAAUGGAAAUUAUGGUAUUUUAAAAGGUUUGCAUAAGGCCUGAAUGAGAACCCAAACGUGAGGUUAUAGUAAAAAAUAACAUCUGUAUAAAAUUACAAUUUCCACUUUGCAAGGUUCUAACUCUUGUUUCUGUUGGCUUUCCCUCAUGGUGACUGGUUUCUUCAAAUGAUGUGUAAUGUGUUAUUGGGAGCUUAGCUUCAGAGAAGUUUUUGCUUUGUGAAAGUCCCCUGUAUCUUGGAUUGAGAGACUCUUUGCAGAAACACCUAGUGUAUAACAGAAUAUUUGAUGCCUACUAAGCCUUCAAAUAAAUGUUAAAAGACUUAACUUUCCCAAGUUAAGUAUUGAGAUGAAACAUUUCCAUAUUUUAUGCAUUCUGAGAUUCCUUUUUACGAAUUUCUGUGAUGGUGAAUAACAUUAAACAUCCAUUUCUUACUGCAAUUUGCAGCCAUGGACUCAUUGGUUAGUAAAUAAAAAACUAAAAGUAGGUUGAGAAGCAUCAAUAUGCCAUUUUAUUUUUUAUAAGCCUUAAAAUAAUAUUUUAGCAAUAUUCUGCAGUUUUCAGUUUAGGGAUUUUGCACAUCUUCUGUCAGAUUUACCCCCAAAUGGUUAAUAGCAUGACCCAUUGUAAGUAGCACUUUUAUUUGAUAUUCAAUUUUUGUAUCUUCUAUAUAGAAAUAAAAUUGAUUUAUGUUUGUUGAUCAACAGUGGUAAACACUAGUCAUGGCAGCAUUUUUUAAAGGUAGAUUUCAGUGGAUUUUGUACAUGAAUGAUCAUGUCUGCAAACCACAAUUUUGUUUCUUUCAAAUCUGCAUACCAUUUAUUUUCUUGCUUUAUUGCAUUGGGUAGCUAAAGUCAGUCAUGGGUGUUCCAUGCCUGCAUGACUGUCCAAUAAGAACCCUAGACAACAAGGUUUAGAUGACUUCCCUAGUUGGUGAUACUUUGUAUGUGUUGUCAUGCAUUAUUGCUGGGAGAAUUAAGUGCAAUCCAUACAAUACACUAAGAAAGGACAACUGGAAAUUUAUAUCUGAUUUUUUUCUGGACUCCUCUCUAAGUGCAUUUGCCUUUGCUGAUUUCUUUUUUAAAGAAGAUGUUAUUUAUUUGAGAGACAGAAAGAGAGAGAGAGAGAGCACAAGCCAGGGGGAAAGGCAGGGUUAGAGGGAGAAUCAGGCUCCCUAUUGAACAAGAAGCCUAACUCAUGGCUUAAUCCCAGGACCACGGGAUCACAUCCUGAGCCAAAGUUAGAUGCUUAAUCGACUGAGCCACUCAGGUGCCCCAUUGCUUUUGCUGAUUUUAAUCUGUAUCUGUUUACUAUAAUAAACUAUAAUUGUGAGUUUAUAACAGCUUUUCUGAGUUCCUUGAAUCUUUCUAGUGCUAAUUAUCAAAACUAAGAGGGGCAUGGAGACCCCCAACACCUAUUACCCUUUUACUGACUAGGUUUUGUGCUGACAUCACUUCUGUAAUUCCUGAUAUUGGUAAUUUGUAUCUUGUUUCUUUUUCUGAUCACUCCCCUUGCAGGUUUACCAACUCUAUUUUUCUUAAACAACCAGCUUUUGGUUUUACAGAAUUUCUCUUUUUAUUAGUUUAAUACAUUUUUUAUUUAUUCUAUAAUCUUUACUAUUUUAUGCUUGCUUUGGGUUUAUUUGCUCUUCUUUUUAAAGUAGAAAUUGAAGUUCUUUGUUUAAAAUCUUUCUUUUUUUCUAAAUAAAUGUUCAGUGCUAUACAUUUUCUUCUACAUACUGCAUUAGCAGACUCCCAUGAAUUUUGAUAUAUUAUUUUUAGUACUUUCUUUUAAUUCAAAAUGUCUUUUAGGUUUUUUUUUCAUCUUUUAGUUACUGAUUAUUUAAAAUUCUGUUGCCUAGUUUUAAAUAUUUGGAGAUUUCUGGAGACCUCUCAUUUAUUUUUAAUUCUGUUGUGAUCAGAGAAAUAGUUUGUAUAAUUUGAAUGCUUUUAUAUUUAAUGAGAUUUGUUUUAUGGCCCAGAAUGCAGUCUAUCUUGGGAAAUGUUUUGUGUACAAAUAAAAUGAAUGUGUAUUUUACUAUUGUUAUAUGGAGUGUGUUAGAUGGAAUGUGUAUUUUACUAUUGUUGGAUGGAGUGUUCUGUUAAUAUCAAGGCAAUUUUGGUUGAUUGUGAUUUUUAAGUCCCCCAUAUCAUUACUGGUUUUUCUGCUUAUUCAAUUGAAAGAUGAGGAUUAAAGUUCACCACUGUAAUUGUGAA